Molecule: non-coding RNA, 444 nt
Organism: Peromyscus maniculatus bairdii (prairie deer mouse)
Lineage: Eukaryota; Metazoa; Chordata; Mammalia; Rodentia; Cricetidae
Source: RefSeq, a predicted model, not a curated record
GUACAGGUAUUGGAUAUGGGUACAGGUCUUGGUAUGGGUUCAGGUGAUGGAUAUGGGUUCAGGUAUUGGAUAUGGGUACAGGUCUUGGUAUGGGUUCAGGUGUUGGAUAUGUGUUCAGGAUGUGGUUACAGGUACAGGCUUUGGAUACGGGUACAGGUCUUGGUAUGGGUUCAGGAUUUGGGAAUGGGUACAGGUUGUGGUUAUGGGUACAGGCACUGGAUAUGGGUAUAGGUAUUGGAUAUGGGUACAGGUCUUGGUAUGGGUUCAGGUGAUGGAUAUGGGUACAGGUCUUAGUAUGGGUUCAGGUGUUGGAUAUGGGUUCAGGGUGUGGUUACAGGUACAGCCUUUGGAUAUGGGUACAGGUCUUGGUAUGGGUUCAGGUGAUGGAUUUGGGUUCAGGAUUUGGGAAUGGGUACAGGAAUUGGAUAUGGGUACAGGUGCUGG